GUUGAGUUGUCCCACAUCGGAGGGAUUUGAGGUACUUGGUCCCCUUAUAUGGCUUGGGCAAUCCUCACCUCACAAGCUAGCUUUUGGGGUUGAGUUAGGCCCAAGGUCCGUUCUUAUUAGCUUUUGGGAUUGAGUUAGGCUCAAGGUCCAUUCUUAUCAUGGUAUCAGAGCCAAGCCCAUCCCAAUUAUUGUUAUCGAUGUUGGGCCCCCAUUUAUGUUAUCCAUGCUCUAGAGGUCUGG
Molecule: long non-coding RNA, 240 nt
Filed under: Nicotiana benthamiana
Lineage: Eukaryota; Viridiplantae; Streptophyta; Magnoliopsida; Solanales; Solanaceae
Description: long non-coding RNA (NBEN_LNC031898)
Source: RNAcentral